Molecule: ribosomal RNA, 429 nt
Filed under: Gemmatimonadota bacterium
Lineage: Bacteria; Pseudomonadati; Gemmatimonadota
Description: Gemmatimonadetes bacterium partial 16S ribosomal RNA
Rfam family: Bacterial small subunit ribosomal RNA
Source: RNAcentral
UAGGGAAUCUUCGGCAAUGGACGAAAGUCUGAUCGAGCAACGCCGCGUGAGUGAAGAAGGUUUUCGGAUCGUAAAACUCUGUUGUUAGAGAAGAACAAGGACGUUAGUAACUGAACGUCCACUGAUGGUAUCUAACCAGAAAGCCACGGCUAACUACGUGCCAGCAGCCGCGGUAAUACGUAGGUGGCAAGCGUUGUCCGGAUUUAUUGGGCGUAAAGCGAGCGCAGGCGGUUUCUUAAGUCUGAUGUGAAAGCCCCCGGCUCAACCGGGGAGGGUCAUUGGAAACUGGGAGACUUGAGUGCAGAAGAGGAGAGUGGAAUUCCAUGUGUAGCGGUGAAAUGCGUAGAUAUAUGGAGGAACACCAGUGGCGAAGGCGGCUCUCUGGUCUGUAACUGACGCUGAGGCUCGAAAGCGUGGGGAGCAAACAGG